AGCGAACGCUGGCGGCAGGCCUAAUACAUGCAAGUCGAGCGGGUCCUUCGGGAUUAGCGGCGGACGGGUGAGUAACGCGUGGGAACGUGCCCUUUGGUACGGAACAACUGAGGGAAACUUCAGCUAAUACCGUAUGUGCCCUUCGGGGAAAGAUUAUCGCCAUUGGAGCGGCCCGCGUUGGAUUAGGUAGUUGGUGAGGUAAAGGCUCACCAAGCCUACGAUCCAUAGCUGGUCUGAGAGGAUGACCAGCCACACUGGGACUGAGACACGGCCCAGACUCCUACGGGAGGCAGCAGUAGGGAAUCUUGCGCAAUGGGCGAAAGCCUGACGCAGCCAUGCCGCGUGAAUGAUGAAGGUCUUAGGAUUGUAAAAUUCUUUCACCGGGGACGAUAAUGACGGUACCCGGAGAAGAAGCCCCGGCUAAACUUCGUGCCAGCAGCCGCGGU
Molecule: ribosomal RNA, 446 nt
Filed under: uncultured bacterium
Lineage: Bacteria
Description: bacterial SSU rRNA
Rfam family: Bacterial small subunit ribosomal RNA
Source: RNAcentral